GAUGAAGAACGCAGCGAAAUGCGAUAAGUAAUGUGAAUUGCAGAAUUCAGUGAAUCAUCGAAUCUUUGAACGCACAUUGCGCCCGCCAGUAUUCUGGCGGGCAUGCCUGUUCGAGCGUCAUUACAACCCUCAGGCCCCCGGGCCUGGCGUUGGGGAUCGGCGGAGCCCCCCGUGGGCACACGCCGUCCCCCAAAUACAGUGGUGGUCCCGCCGCAGCUUCCAUCGCGUAGUAGCUAACACCUCGCGACUGGAGAGCGGCGCGGCCACGCCGUAAAACACCCAACUCUUCUGAAGUUGACCUCGAAUCAGGUAGGAAUACCCGCUGAACUUAAGCAUAUCAAUAAGCGGAGGA
This 352-nucleotide unclassified non-coding RNA is filed under the name soil metagenome. RNAcentral's name for it is "partial contains 5.8S ribosomal RNA, internal transcribed spacer 2, and large subunit ribosomal RNA". The stretch from base 1 to 120 matches the Rfam family "5.8S ribosomal RNA", at positions 35 to 154 of the family's 154-position model. The record is from RNAcentral.